This is a long non-coding RNA of Pistacia vera, 218 nucleotides long. RefSeq lists it as uncharacterized. The transcript has 3 exons. The record is from RefSeq and is a predicted model, not a curated record. NCBI's taxonomy places the organism in Eukaryota, Viridiplantae, Streptophyta, Magnoliopsida, Sapindales, Anacardiaceae.
UCUUUUAGUUGCAAAUCUCUCAAGUGUCUUAUAUUUCUCCCUUUAUUAAGGAUAUUAGGAGGAUAAGGGUCAAUUGGAGAUAAGGAGGAGGAAAUUUGCAAAGGAGUGUGGUUUCUUGACAUAAGGUAAUGGUUAAAGCGGUAACGGCGAGUGGCGGUCAAGGAGGCUUGGGGCAUGCAUGUUUUUGUUCUAGCUAAACUUAUGAUGUUAUAUAAAGG